This 327-nucleotide unclassified non-coding RNA is filed under the name soil metagenome. Its description in RNAcentral is "partial contains 5.8S ribosomal RNA, internal transcribed spacer 2, and large subunit ribosomal RNA". The stretch from base 1 to 120 matches the Rfam family "5.8S ribosomal RNA", at positions 35 to 154 of the family's 154-position model. The record is from RNAcentral.
GAUGAAGAACGUAGCGAAAUGCGAUAAGUAAUGUGAAUUGCAGAAUUCAGUGAAUCAUCGAAUCUUUGAACGCACAUUGCGCCCCUUGGUAUUCCGAGGGGCAUGCCUGUUCGAGCGUCAUUAUAACCCCUCAAGCUCAGCUUGGUGUUGGGGCCUGCCGCACGGGCAGCCCUUAAAAUCAGUGGCGGUGCCAUCUGGCUCUAAGCGUAGUAAUUCUUCUCGCUAUAGAGUUCCGGUGGAUGCUUGCCAUUAACCCCCAAUUUUCUAUGGUUGACCUCGGAUCAGGUAGGGAUACCCGCUGAACUUAAGCAUACAAUAAGCGGAGGA